This 3627-nucleotide long non-coding RNA is filed under the name Triticum aestivum (bread wheat). RNAcentral's name for it is "long non-coding RNA (TAES_LNC022908)". The record is from RNAcentral. Lineage: Eukaryota; Viridiplantae; Streptophyta; Magnoliopsida; Poales; Poaceae.
GGCCCAGUACACCUGCAUCUCCUCACGCGUGAUGGUGGUGCUCCGCCUCUUCUACCUCGACUCCGACGUUGAUGGUACUCCGCCUAGGGUUUCUGCACCGUGUUACUCCGUCGAGUAUGAGUGGAGAACACCGUGAUGCGAGUGAUUUCUCUCAAUAAUUUUCUUAGUCAGGUAUUUGAAUUGUUGCUUACAUAUCUGGUGUUCGUAUCUCGUUCUGGUGUUUAUUGAUUAGAUGUGAUUACCCUGUGUUGACGGUCAACCUGUACUAGUUCUGGAUAAGUAGUAUGUGCAUACCCUGUUAUGCGUUACUGUCAGAUUUUCCUAUUCCUAUAUAGAUGGAUCGAUGGAAUUGUUUUUUUCACAUGAAAUUGAUCAUUAUAUACUAGCAUGUAGCAUGACCUGUUCAAUAAGAUCAACACGGUUUUUUCUUAUGAAAAGAGAUCAACUUAGUUCAAAUCACAGUGAGAUAGUAGUAUAUGAGCGAUAUAGCAUAUGACAUCAUGUAUGCCUCUGAAGGACAUUGCUACAAAAAUCAGCAUGUGAGUGCAAUUAUGGGUCAUGAUACUAUCAUAAUUAUUUCAAAUGGAUAAUCCCCUUCUCAGUAGUUUGAAUCAUUAUUUAUUUGGCGCCAUGUGUACAAUAUACUAAAAAACUAAGCCCACUUGCAUCCGUCUGUCCCAAUAUUUGUCUUUGUUCUGUAAUACUUCGUUCCAUCUACACUCGCAAGUUAUGAAACUAUUUUUUUUUUCUAUAGUUAACAUCCACAUGUGUGUGCUUAUGUUAUCUCUUAACAGAUCGAUCUACAACACAUACGCAUUGCAAUUAUGAGAAAGCCAUCAAUAUGCAGAUGAAGCCUUAAGAAUUAUUUAAGUCAUUGUAAUUAUAUAUAUCAUGGUGAGGGCCCUUCCGCUGGUAAGGAAAACUUAGAUUUUUUGCGUAUUAUAUAUUUUUUGAUUGAUGUAACAUUUGUUUUCCCCUGACAAAAAGUAAUGUUUGUUUCAUGUUCUUAUUCAGUAAAAAUGUGCACAACACAAUCUCAAAUUUUAUGCAAAAGCUCAGAUGGCAAUAGUUCUUACACUCAUGUUAUCCAAUAUAAACUGUUGAAUGAUUGAUACAAUUUGAAGGUGAGAUACAAGAACAUCAUAACAUUGAUAUUCUCGUCGUAUGUAUAUGACUACUAUAUAUUCUCGAAAUCUCACCUCUAAACUGAGUUUAGUGCAAUUUUUUAAUUUUUUGAAAUACAGGUACUUCUCAAUUUUUGUACUAAUUUUCUAUUUUGGGGAAAGCCACAUAUGUUUCCAACAAUAGAAUGAUGUGUGAUGGUCAUCACACAAACUCCUGGCCAGAUGCCUCUCACAUCUUAUCUUGUUUGUAAUAUAUUCUCCUUAAACUGUUUAACACAAUGAGCAUGUAGAUGUAGUUGGUUCAUCAACGUAAACAUCAAAAGUAUUCCUCUUAUGCAGUCUGCUUCCCUGACAUGCAGGGCACACUAAGGUGGUGGGAAGAUACAUACAACCGUUAACCUGACGGCUAAGCGAUCAGAUGCGGCGAUUGUGUGAGUGUGUCAGGUACAUCGAAUUCACUGAUCCCAAACUAUUGGAUGUUACUAGGAUCUCCUCUUCUCUGUAAUACUUAUGGCCUUCUCCUCUACCUAUUGGGGCAACAAUUUGGAUAUCCAGGAACCAUGGUGACAAAUACGUGCAUACUGGAACUGUUCCAAGUUUCCAUUUUCUCAGUAAACAAGUGAACUAAGAAAGUGAAUCCUAUUUAAUAAAUGUAGGCAUAUACUAAUACGGUGGCACAACUUAGUCUGCAUGAAUGUUCUGGUCUUCUAAAUUUUUAGUAUAAUGUUGAGUACUUUAGUUGGAGUCCAUGCUAGUUUAGCUAGCCAAGUUGAGUCUAAUUAGGCUAGGUUGAUUAGUUAGUUUUCCACCAUUGCAAGUCGUAAGCAUGUGUGCUCAUGGAUGGGUCAUAGUCUGUAGAUGAUUCAAUGAUUUUGCAUAGGUAGCAGCGUACGUGAUGUACUAGUAUGCCUUGGAGUUGGUGUGCCUUACUAGUCUAGGAAAAGGGCGCUCGAGUCCAAGUCGUUUUAGAUGCUAAGUCAGAGUAGGUUUAGGUUGUUCCGGCCAUGUAGCAGGUCAUAGUUGUGGAAGCAGGUCGUAUAAGAGUUUUUCCAUAGAAAACAAGGUCAUGUAAGAGCUUUCAGACAAGAAUAAAGAGUAUGCUAAAGUUUCCUUCAUGUGCUUGUGUUUGGCUAUUUUGAUGUGAUAUAUUCUGUGGACAAAACAGAACAUAGAUUACUAAUCCAUAUGCCAAAUCAGCAGGUUACAGAAACUUGAUUGUUCCAAGACAAUGUUGUUGGCACUAAAACCUAAAAGACUACUGGUGCCAAGCUGGAUUUGCUAGGAGGUAUUUUCUAAUAUUACUUCUAUAUUGCCUGAAUGAUUCUUCACCAAUUCAAAUGGAAAUUUUGGAUUAUUAAUAGCAUUACUUGAAUAUAUUUUUAUUAUCACACAUGCUUCUGUUCUUUUACCUAAUUUGUACAAGAGAACACUUUUCUUCCAUGUUACAAUGGUCAUACACUCAUACUGCGUCUCUGAGAUAAGACUCUUUGCCGCUAAAAAGGGCAACCUGGUGCAUGUAGCUCCCGCUUGCGCAGGGUCCAGGGAAGGGUCCGACCACUUUGGGUCUAUAGUACGCAGCCUUUCCCUACAUUUCUGUAAGAGGCUGUUUCCAGGACUUGAACCCAUGACCUCAUGGUCACAAGGCAGCAGCUUUACCACUGCGCCAAGGCUCCCCUUCACUCUUUGUCGCUAGAUUAGGUAAAAUAAUUCAUCAACUCCUGUAUGCCUUCCUUACAUUCCCUCACUUCCUAUAUAACACUCUGUUUCUAUAAACAUGGUGAAACUUGAUAAUGGAAUGAGCUGAGUUACUUUACUGUAAACUAAAAUGACUACGUUCGGCUACAAAAGUAAUACUUGACAAGUUCAAACAAGAGCGCUGCUCUUACUACAACCCAACGUAUCAACCAAGAAUAUAAAGGUAAAAUUGACGGUGUUAAACUUGGUAAUGAAUUCCUUAUAUUCCGAAUUGAUCUUACAUUAGCAAAAUCUGGUAAGUUUAUACAACUAAUAAAAAGUCAAAAUUACUGGCGAUAUAGCUAGAUUAAUUAUCACAUGGCCUUCAACCUUUCUAUGUUGCUCCUCUUUUUCAAUUUUACUGCCCUAUUAACCUAUCUCAUUUCUUUGUGUAGAUUGCAAGAUAAAUCGGUGAUGCAUGGUCAGAUGUUGAUUGCAAGGUCAAGAACAUGGGUGCUACUAGAUAGUUUCACAUUGUGUUUCAGAAUGUCAUUUUCAUUGUCGAUGUGUCAAUCAUUAUGAUUCAGGCAUUUUCAGUGUCAAUGUUUAGAUCAUUAUGUUUCAAAAUGGCUGAGACGUUGGUUGCAAGAUCAAGAAUAGGACCAGUACUAGUUUCACAUCUUGUAAUCUUUGUAUCCAGAUCCUUGUAAUGCAACCAAGUUGAUUUAAUAUAUGAGACAGUUCUGUUUGUUAUACUGCGUCCUCUAUGCAAUAUUGGCAUUGACCUAAUAAUUCUUGAUCGGAAUUGACCUAAUAAUUCUGGAUGGUC